GCGACAUUCAUGCACCUCGUCGGGUGUAAUUAUUCGGUGUGUACGAGACCUACGAGGAGGAAGCAAACUUGCAGAAGCAAACCUGCCCGGCAAGAAGGGACCCCUCAAGCUGGACGAAUGGGUGUUGUGCCGGCUGUACAACAAGAAGAACAGCUGGGAGAAGGUCAAGGUGGAGCAGGACAUGGCUGUGGAGGCAUGGCUUGGACGCUCGUCAACCUCGGCCACUUCUUGAUUACAUACCACUUCUUCCACUGGAAGAAGGGAACUCCAUUCGCUGGUGAUCAGGGGAUGUAUAAUAGA
This 300-nucleotide ribosomal RNA is filed under the name Triticum aestivum (bread wheat). RNAcentral describes it as "partial small subunit ribosomal RNA". Lineage: Eukaryota; Viridiplantae; Streptophyta; Magnoliopsida; Poales; Poaceae. The record is from RNAcentral.